ACUCAGGUGUGGGAGCACAAACCGUUCUUGCCAACAGCAGACAACAACGGCAGGAUGUGACUUUCCAGCCACGUCCGUAUCCUCUCUCUCCUCCUGCUCCCGGCCGCUUUCUGUUAACGACAACAGAUGAUUAGAUUAACAUGUACCACCUGCGAAAUCUAAUCACCUGCCGGCUGCGUCUCGCCAUCAGCACUGCCACGCCCCCGUCUGAUGGUGUUCAGGAACAUGGACAGUGGCGAUGACCUUUGCUCCUGCAGGCAGCGCUGACAACAUUUUUCUCCACAGCUGGCAAGAGCACAAGUAAUGGGGAUACCCAGAAAUGUGUAACGGCGGCGGGGGCAACCGUCUGGCAGCGGUGCAUCACCCCAGCAUCCCCGACCUUGGAGUAUCUUCCAAACACACCCGCUAUGGAGGGAGGAAGGUCACACUCAACCACGACCUGCCAAUCAACCGGUUUCUGUUCCCAGCUGUUCCUCAUUUCACCUGUUGAUCAACCAGCCAAUCCCGGUCCACUAUUCAUCCUCCUGUGCUGCUUUAAAUCACCUGCUCACCACUGGAAAGGGGAAUUCUUUUUCUGACAUGCUGUCUGGAGUUCUGAGAGACCCUACUUUGUCUUUGGCGACACUUUUUUUUUCUCUUCAGUUUUUUGGACCUUUCAACCUUUGUGAGUAUCUGCAGCCUAGUCUUGGGAAAGGUUAGACAGAGGCCUCUAUACACUACACACGUAGGAUUUUUGUUUGCCAUCUGGAACGUAACAAAGGUAAGCUUUUCUUGUUCGCUAUUCUGUUAGCUUCCUGUGCCUUUGGCACGCUGGUGCUCUUUUGUUUGAAUCCCACAUGUUUAUUGGACAAUCAAUUAUUUCCUUACCUGCACGUUGCCUCCUAGGAAAACAAUCCACGCAGUAAAGUGCGACCCCGCCGUGACAACUAUGACCAUACACUGCAAUUCUUGUAGAAAUGUCACUCAUAUCUUGGUUUUGAGUAUAUUUUAAUGGAAUAAAAAUAAUUUGAUCAGUAGUUGGGAAAGAGUAGGACAAACCAGCAGUAAAAUGUAUCAUUUUUAA
This is a long non-coding RNA of Nerophis ophidion (straightnose pipefish), 1063 nucleotides long. RefSeq lists it as uncharacterized. Lineage: Eukaryota; Metazoa; Chordata; Actinopteri; Syngnathiformes; Syngnathidae. The transcript has 3 exons. The record is from RefSeq and is a predicted model, not a curated record.